GAUGAACGCUGGCGGCGUGCCUAAUACAUGCAAGUAGAACGCUGAAGGAGGAGCUUGCUCUUCUGGAUGAGUUGCGAACGGGUGAGUAACGCGUAGGUAACCUGCCUGGUAGCGGGGGAUAACUAUUGGAAACGAUAGCUAAUACCGCAUGACAACAGUUAUUGCAUGAUAACUGUUUAAAAGGGGCAACUGCUCCACUACCAGAUGGACCUGCGUUGUAUUAGCUAGUUGGUGAGGUAACGGCUCACCAAGGCGACGAUACAUAGCCGACCUGGGAGGGUGAUCGGCCACACUGGGACUGAGACACGGCCCAGACUCCUACGGGAGGCAGCAGUAGGGAAUCUUCGGCAAUGGACGGAAGGCUGACCGAGCAACGCCGCGUGAGUGAAGUAGGUUUUCGGAUCGUAAAGCUCUGUUGUAAGAGAAGAACGAGUGUGAGAGUGGAAAGUUCACACUGUGACGGUAUCUUACCAGAAAGGGACGGCUAACUACGUG
RNAcentral lists this ribosomal RNA (495 nucleotides) under uncultured bacterium. Its description in RNAcentral is "partial 16S ribosomal RNA". It matches the Rfam family "Bacterial small subunit ribosomal RNA", at positions 28 to 507 of the family's 1533-position model. The record is from RNAcentral.